This 301-nucleotide ribosomal RNA is filed under the name uncultured bacterium. RNAcentral describes it as "partial 16S ribosomal RNA". It matches the Rfam family "Bacterial small subunit ribosomal RNA", at positions 509 to 807 of the family's 1533-position model. The record is from RNAcentral.
CAGUCGCCACGGUAAUACAGAGGGUGCAAGCGUUAAUAGGAAUUACUGGGCGUAAAGCGCGCGUAGGUGGUUUGUUAAGUUGGAUGUGAAAUCCCCGGGCUCAACCUGGGAACUGCAUCCAAAACUGGCAAGCUAGAGUAUGGUAGAGGGUGGUGGAAUUUCCUGUGUAGCGGUGAAAUGCGUAGAUAUAGGAAGGAACACCAGUGGCGAAGGCGACCACCUGGACUGAUACUGACACUGAGGUGCGAAAGCGUGGGGAGCAAACAGGAUUAGAUACCCCAGUAGUCCCUGUCUCUUAUAC